CUUUGGCAAGCUGCUGAGAUAUGCCGCAGACUAAAUGGUGUUCGAUUUACAAGCUGUAAAAGUGCCAAGGAUAGGACUGCCAUGUCGGUCACCCUAGAGCAGUGUUUGAUCCUACAGCAUGAACAUGGAAUGGCUCCACAGGUCUUCACUCAGGCUCUGGAGUGUAUGAGGAGUGAGGGUUGUCGGCGAGAAAAUACAAUGAAGAAUGUUGGAUGUCGCAAGUAUGCAUUUAAUUCCCUGCAACUGAAGGCUUUCCCAAAGUAUUACAGGCCUCCAGAAGGAACUUAUGGAAAAGUUGAAACAUAAGCAUACCAUGUCCUUUAAUUGCUGUUCCAUUAAAACAUGUGGAUACACUCUAGAUUAAUACAUGAUUGUGUCAUCCAGAAGAGAUAAAUAACCUUUUUGUACGUUUCACUAGGUUAUCCAGAGCAUGUUACUUACAGAAUUGGAAUCUAUAGUAACAAUUAUUCUGACACCUUAGCUUGAGAAUAGUGUGAUGACUCUCUGCCCGUUUAAAUAGCCUUCAGUGUAUGUAAGAUGAACAGAUAUUGUGCUACUUAAUAAUUACCUAUAUGCAAAGAGCUAGGUACCUCCUGGAUGGGCACGGACUCUGGGAACAGCAUUUAGGCAGCUGUUUCACGUAACAUCUUUUUAUACUGAGUUGACUUGAGAUUGAGCUUUUCAUAAACUUUUUAAAACUGAGAGUAGAACUCAAAAUUAAGUUGUAAAUAAAAAGGGAUUGGAUCCUAGACCGUCUAAUAACUGUAGAAUGCAUUGUUACAAUCAAGAAACAGAAGUUUAAC
Molecule: non-coding RNA, 803 nt
Organism: Leptosomus discolor (cuckoo roller)
Lineage: Eukaryota; Metazoa; Chordata; Aves; Leptosomiformes; Leptosomidae
Source: RefSeq, a predicted model, not a curated record